AACGCGCGGUCCUCGCGGGCCUCGCUGGGACCCCCUAGGAGAUGAGGCCGCGAGGUCUCCCGCCGCUCCUGGUGGUGCUCCUGGGCUGCUGGGCCUCCGUGAGCGCCCAGACCGAGGCCACCCCGGCGGUGACGACAGAGGGCCUCAACUCCACCGAGGCAGCCCUGGCCACUUUCGGAACUUCCCCGUCGACCAGGCCCCCCGGGACUCCCAGGGCUCCAGGGCCCUCCUCGGGCCCCAGGCCUACCCCGGUCACGGACGGGGCGACAGCCAGUUUUGUAGUCAAAAAGCGGUCAUCUAUUCAUUGAAUUUUACAGCAAACCCACCUCAAAGAAAGUACCUGAUGAAAACAAUUUUGAUACACUGAUGAAAACAUCUGAUGGUUUUACAUUGAAUGCUGAAUCAUAUAUUUCCUUCACAACCAAACUGGAUAUUCCUACUGCUGCUAAAUAUGAGUAUGGGGUUCCUCUGCAGACUUCAGAUUCGUUUCUGAGAUUUCCUUUGUCCCUAACAUCAUCUCUGUGCACUGAUGAUAACCCUGCAGGUAAGAAAGUGGUCAUUCUUCUUUCCUU
RNAcentral lists this small RNA (572 nucleotides) under Pongo abelii (Sumatran orangutan). RNAcentral's name for it is "retained intron". Lineage: Eukaryota; Metazoa; Chordata; Mammalia; Primates; Hominidae. The record is from RNAcentral.